This is a small nucleolar RNA of Electrophorus electricus (electric eel), 68 nucleotides long. Its record names the gene SNORD58. It matches the Rfam family "Small nucleolar RNA SNORD58". Rfam says of the family: snoRNA U58 is found in introns 1, 3 and 6 of the ribosomal protein RPL17 gene in humans. U58 is a member of the C/D class of snoRNA which contain C (UGAUGA) and D (CUGA) box motifs. The record is from Ensembl. NCBI's taxonomy places the organism in Eukaryota, Metazoa, Chordata, Actinopteri, Gymnotiformes, Gymnotidae.
UUGCCAUGAUGACCAUCUUAGGACACCUUUGGAGUUCUGCAUGAAAACAAACAGUUAAUCUGAGCAAC